Molecule: transfer RNA, 77 nt
Filed under: Caldinitratiruptor microaerophilus
Lineage: Bacteria; Bacillati; Bacillota; Clostridia; Eubacteriales; Symbiobacteriaceae
Description: tRNA-Ile
Rfam family: tRNA
About the family: Transfer RNA (tRNA) molecules are approximately 80 nucleotides in length. Their secondary structure includes four short double-helical elements and three loops (D, anti-codon, and T loops).
Source: RNAcentral
GCGAGGGUAGCUCAGCUGGUCAGAGCACGCGCCUGAUAAGCGCGAGGUCGGUGGUUCGAGUCCACUCCCUCGCACCA